Molecule: ribosomal RNA, 624 nt
Filed under: Triticum aestivum (bread wheat)
Lineage: Eukaryota; Viridiplantae; Streptophyta; Magnoliopsida; Poales; Poaceae
Description: partial small subunit ribosomal RNA
Source: RNAcentral
AUGUCGCGUACUUUGUUCAACCGCAUAGCUGAUGGUAUACUUGAGCAUGACUAUGAUGAUUAUUUUACGCAAAAAAGAAGUGCUUCUGGAGCUCUUGGGUUACAUCCUUUGCAAAAGAUGACCGCGGCGAUGCGGAUACUAACAUAUGGAAUAGCAGGUGAUUAUGUUGAUGAGUACAUCCGGUCCGCUGAGUCUACUAAUUUAGAGUCUUGCAAGAAAUUUAUGAUCAAAAUUUGUGAAGUUUUUGGGGAAAAAUUCCUGAGAUCUCCAAAUGAAGAAGACAUUGCUAGGUUAUUUGCAAUAGGGGAGGAAAGAGGAUUUCCCGAUGGUAUCUAUCCACGGUGGGCAACAUUUGUGAAGAGCAUACCAGCUCCAACUAGCAGAAAGCAAAAAACUUUUGCCAAGAAGCAAGAGGGGGCUAGGAAAGAUGUGGAACGAGCCUUUGGAGUUCUGCAAUCCCGUUUUGCCAUUGUUCGUGGACCUGCUAAAGGAUGGAAACGUAAAGAAAUCACUGAUGUCAUGAAAGCUUGUGUCAUAAUGCACAAUAUGAUAGUUGAAGAGGAGCGACAAACUGGUCGGCAAAGCUGCACUUUUGAGGCAAUGGGAGAAAGAGUCACAGUCUCU